This 515-nucleotide ribosomal RNA is filed under the name uncultured bacterium. RNAcentral's name for it is "partial 16S ribosomal RNA". It matches the Rfam family "Bacterial small subunit ribosomal RNA", at positions 28 to 523 of the family's 1533-position model. The record is from RNAcentral.
GAUGAACGCUGGCGGCGUGCCUAAUACAUGCAAGUCGAGCGAAUGGAUUAAGAGCUUGCUCUUAUGAAGUUAGCGGCGGACGGGUGAGUAACACGUGGGUAACCUGCCCAUAAGACUGGGAUAACUCCGGGAAACCGGGGCUAAUACCGGAUAGCAUUUUGAACCGCAUGGUUCGAAAUUGAAAGGCGGCUUCGGCUGUCACUUAUGGAUGGACCCGCGUCGCAUUAGCUAGUUGGUGAGGUAACGGCUCACCAAGGCAACGAUGCGUAGCCGACCUGAGAGGGUGAUCGGCCACGCUGGGACUGAGACACGGCCCAGCCUCCUACGGGAGGCAGCAGUAGGGAAUCUUCCGCAAUGGACGAAAGUCUGACGGAGCAACGCCGCGUGAGUGAUGAAGGCUUUCGGGUCGUAAAACUCUGUUGUUAGGGAAGAACAAGUGCUAGUUGAAUAAGCUGACACCUUGACGGUACCUAACCAGAAAGCCACGGCUAACUACGUGCCAGCAGCCGCCGUAA